UGGGUCGACUGGACGGUCGCGUGGCGGGAGACCGCACCGAGGAACGUCCGGGCUCCACAGGGCAGGGCGGUGGGUAACACCCACCCGGAGUGAUCCGCGAGAAAGUGCCACAGAGAGUAGACCGCCCCGCAAGGGGUAAGGGUGAAAGGGUGGUGUAAGAGACCACCGGGGGACAUGGUGACAUGGCCCGCCAGGUAAACCUCGCCCGGAGCAAGGUCAGACAGAGGAUGUUGACGCGGCCCGCCGAGUCCUCGGGUAGACCGCUGGAGCGGCACGGCAACGUGUCGCCGAGAGAGAUGGCCGUCGAAGGGGCGAAGAACCCCGGAACAGAACCCGGCGUACAGGUCGGCCCAUUCG
This 357-nucleotide RNase P RNA is filed under the name Microbacterium sp. CGR2. Its description in RNAcentral is "Bacterial RNase P class A". It matches the Rfam family "Bacterial RNase P class A". Rfam says of the family: Ribonuclease P (RNase P) is a ubiquitous endoribonuclease, found in archaea, bacteria and eukarya as well as chloroplasts and mitochondria. Its best characterised activity is the generation of mature 5'-ends of tRNAs by cleaving the 5'-leader elements of precursor-tRNAs. Cellular RNase Ps are ribonucleoproteins. Lineage: Bacteria; Bacillati; Actinomycetota; Actinomycetes; Micrococcales; Microbacteriaceae. The record is from Rfam by way of RNAcentral. RNAcentral also lists the same sequence under 1 other name.